GUUUGAUCCUGGCUCAGAUUGAACGCUGGCGGCAUGCUUUACACAUGCAAGUCGAACGGUAACAGGCCUUCGGGUGCUGACGAGUGGCGAACGGGUGAGUAAUGCAUCGGAACGUGCCCAAUCGUGGGGGAUAACGUAGCGAAAGUUACGCUAAUACCGCAUAAGCCCUGAGGGGGAAAGCAGGGGAUCGCAAGACCUUGCGCGAAUGGAGCGGCCGAUGUCAGAUUAGCUAGUUGGUGGGGUAAAGGCCUACCAAGGCGACGAUCUGUAGCGGGUCUGAGAGGAUGAUCCGCCACACUGGGACUGAGACACGGCCCAGACUCCUACGGGAGGCAGCAGUGGGGAAUUUUGGACAAUGGGCGCAAGCCUGAUCCAGCCAUGCCGCGUGCGGGACGAAGGCCU
Molecule: ribosomal RNA, 402 nt
Filed under: uncultured bacterium
Lineage: Bacteria
Description: bacterial SSU rRNA
Rfam family: Bacterial small subunit ribosomal RNA
Source: RNAcentral